GACGAACGCUGGCGGCGUGCCUAAUACAUGCAAGUUGAGCGAUGAAGAUUGGUGCUUGCACCAAUUUGAAGAGCAGCGAACGGGUGAGUAACGCGUGGGGAAUCUGCCUUUGAGCGGGGGACAACAUUUGGAAACGAAUGCUAAUACCGCAUAACAACUUUAAACAUAAGUUUUAAGUUUGAAAGAUGCAAUUGCAUCACUCAAAGAUGAUCCCGCGUUGUAUUAGCUAGUUGGUGAGGUAAAGGCUCACCAAGGCGAUGAUACAUAGCCGACCUGAGAGGGUGAUCGGCCACAUUGGGACUGAGACACGGCCCAAACCCCUACGGGAGGCAGCAGUAGGGAAUCUUCGGCAAUGGACGAAAGUCUGGCCGAGCAACGCCGCGUGAGUGAAGAAGGUUUUCGGAUCGUAAAACUCUGUUGGUAGAGAAGAACGUUGGUGAGAGUGGAAAGCUCAUCAAGUGACGGUAACUACCCAGAAAGGGACGGCUAACUACGUG
Molecule: ribosomal RNA, 497 nt
Filed under: uncultured bacterium
Lineage: Bacteria
Description: partial 16S ribosomal RNA
Rfam family: Bacterial small subunit ribosomal RNA
Source: RNAcentral